GGAUCGGAGUCUGCAACUCGACUCCGUGAAGUCGGAAUCGCUAGUAAUCGUAGAUCAGAAUGCUACGGUGAAUACGUUCCCGGGCCUUGUACACACCGCCCGUCACACCAUGGGAGUGGGUUGCAAAAGAAGCAGGUAGCUUAACCUUCGGGAGAGCGCCUACCACUUUGUGAUUUAUGACUGGGGUGAAGUCGUAACAAGGUAACCGUAGGGGAACCUGCGGUUGGAUCACCUCCUUACCUGAAGAUA
This 249-nucleotide ribosomal RNA is filed under the name Candidatus Erwinia dacicola. RNAcentral's name for it is "partial 16S ribosomal RNA". It matches the Rfam family "Bacterial small subunit ribosomal RNA", at positions 1295 to 1533 of the family's 1533-position model. Lineage: Bacteria; Pseudomonadati; Pseudomonadota; Gammaproteobacteria; Enterobacterales; Erwiniaceae. The record is from RNAcentral.